AACAAAACAGAAAUAUCAAUCAGCUGUAAUGUAAUGGCGGACAGGUGGAGCAUUGGUGGAGCGGUUAAUCUAGUGAUAAGUGACGUUAACUUUAGUUUGUGACAUUUUUUUUAAUUCAUAAGUUUUAAUGCUAACUUAUCUUUUAGCUAAAUGAGUAGUCCAUGGCUAUCUUAAAGAAAUUACCGGGCUUUGCUUUGCAGCAGACUCAUGGACGACACUGUUAGUGAAUUAUCUGGUGAAUCAAUUCCCUCUGAUGAUUAUGAGUUCAUCAAUGACCCUCUUCAACGGCAAAAUUUGCUGUAUCCAUUGCCGUACCUGAAAAUAGCAGACAAUGGUGAUCUCAACCAGUUAAAAACUUGUUUGAAUGAAGUGCUAAAUGAAAGUGAAACAAUGAGUGACUCUGAUCAAAAAGAUUGCUCGGAGGGUAGUAAGCUCAAAGAAAAUCCAAUCUCUCCGAAAGAUGAUUAUAUGCCUUCUGAUGUAGCCAUCAGUGAAAUAGCUGAUGACGAUUAUUGGGCGACACUCGCAGAGAACAGUAUGUUUAUUUUUUUGUUUUAUAACCUUUACCGUAUCAAUUACAACAAUUUGUUUCAUUUAUGAAAGAUCUGAAACCACAUAAAACCAAAUAAAAGGCAAAAGUAGUGUGGGUAGAUUAAGAUAAAUAAGCUAGCCUAAAAUGAAGA
RNAcentral lists this long non-coding RNA (683 nucleotides) under Bemisia tabaci. RNAcentral describes it as "lncRNA ENSASIAIIG009910". Lineage: Eukaryota; Metazoa; Arthropoda; Insecta; Hemiptera; Aleyrodidae. The record is from RNAcentral.